UUGGUGACCAGCGGAGGGAUCAUUACCGAGUUUACAACUCCCAAACCCAAUGUGAACGUUACCAAACUGUUGCCUCGGCGGGAUCUCUGCCCCGGGUGCGUCGCAGCCCCGGACCAAGGCGCCCGCCGGAGGACCAACCAAAACUCUUAUUGUAUACCCCCUCGCGGGUUUUUUUUAUAAUCUGAGCCUUCUCGGCGCCUCUCGUAGGCGUUUCGAAAAUGAAUCAAAACUUUCAACAACGGAUCUCUUGGUUCUGGCAUCGAUGAAGAACGCAGCGAAAUGCGAUAAGUAAUGUGAAUUGCAGAAUUCAGUGAAUCAUCGAAUCUUUGAACGCACAUUGCGCCCGCCAGUAUUCUGGCGGGCAUGCCUGUCCGAGCGUCAUUUCAACCCUCGAACCCCUCCGGGGGGUCGGCGUUGGGGAUCGGCCCUGCCUUGGCGGUGGCCGUCUCCGAAAUACAGUGGCGGUCUCGCCGCAGCCUCUCCUGCGCAGUAGUUUGCACACUCGCAUCGGGAGCGCGGCGCGUCCACAGCCGUUAAACACCCAACUUCUGAAAUGUUGACCUCGGAUCAGGUAGGAAUACCCGCUGAACUUAAGCAUAUCAAUA
This 605-nucleotide ribosomal RNA is filed under the name Trichoderma harzianum. RNAcentral's name for it is "eukaryotic LSU rRNA". The stretch from base 228 to 381 matches the Rfam family "5.8S ribosomal RNA". The record is from RNAcentral. Lineage: Eukaryota; Fungi; Ascomycota; Sordariomycetes; Hypocreales; Hypocreaceae.